Long non-coding RNA from Ornithodoros turicata, 434 nucleotides. RefSeq lists it as uncharacterized. Lineage: Eukaryota; Metazoa; Arthropoda; Arachnida; Ixodida; Argasidae. The record is from RefSeq and is a predicted model, not a curated record. The transcript has 2 exons.
GGGGUGACGCGCCGCACCAGUACCGUCACGUCCUCGCUCUCGCUGCGGUGCGAUGACGCCAAAAACAACGCGAGCAAGCCCUCCGAGCACGGUCGGACUGAUGAAAUUUCUUGCUGGGAAAACUCAGACUGGCUGACGAGCGGACUGCUCAAUCAUGACUUCUUCCGUGGAGAGGGGAGCAGAGAGGGGAGCAGACCACACAGGCCUCAACAGCAGGGAUUAAUAAUUAGGAUGCUCGUGGCUGCUGUCCCCUGCGUUUUUCUAAACACGCUCACAGGGACUUCCCGAAAAACAUAUAUCUGUACAACUUGUCUAUUUGCUUGGUUUGGAAGACGUAUUCUAAAGAAAUAUGUUUAAUUUUGUACAUGCUCACCUUUCACAUGUCAUAACCAGAUACCCACGAUGAAAAUAAAGAAAAAACGGUCAAACGGUAA